CUUUCAUGUUAGUCAGUUUUAAUUAGCUCCAAUUAAGUUUCUAUUAUGCAAACAGCUUCAAUACAUUUAUUCAAGGAUCCCAUGUUUAAAAUACUGAUAAACAGAGCCCAACAAAUAUCAGAUUAAGAAAAAUACAGUUCCAGAUUCAGUCUAGCUUGAAAUUGCUGUAAACUAUAUGAGAGCAAACUGUGAAUUUAGGUGAUGUGUCAUGAACACAAAGAGGUUCUGUCCUACAGAGGACUUGUUGUCUACAGGACUACUGAAAGAACCUGUACUAGUAUUAAUCUGAGUUGAUUCAGUAUAGGUGGCUAUUAAAGGCAAUGUGAACCCCCAAACCAGCUGCUACAAAUUGUUGCAUGAUGGUCAUCCUCAGCUGUUGUUCUCUCUCCCUCGAGCCAUGCCCCAAGUUGUAUUGGAGCUGGAGUGGCCAUGUGCUGAGAUGCUGGGAGGAGAGACCCUGCAGCACAGGGAGAAGUGCUCCAGCAUGCAGGUAACCUCUCACUGAGCAGCACCUGAGGCAACACUGGAACAAUUCUGUCAACCACCGAUGAAUUUUAGAAAGUUACAUGAUCAUACCUGCACUGUUUAAAGUUCUCCUGCGUGAUCUGGAACAAGAAAACAUCACAAAUAUCAGCACAGUAUAAUAAAUACCAAAAUAAAUGUGAAUACUAAAAGUCA
This 678-nucleotide long non-coding RNA is filed under the name Anser brachyrhynchus (Pink-footed goose). Its description in RNAcentral is "lncRNA (ENSABRG00000004779.1)". Lineage: Eukaryota; Metazoa; Chordata; Aves; Anseriformes; Anatidae. The record is from RNAcentral.